RNAcentral lists this ribosomal RNA (251 nucleotides) under uncultured prokaryote. RNAcentral's name for it is "partial 16S rRNA". It matches the Rfam family "Bacterial small subunit ribosomal RNA", at positions 525 to 775 of the family's 1533-position model. The record is from RNAcentral.
ACGUAGGGUGCGAGCGUUAAUCGGAAUUACUGGGCGUAAAGCGUGCGCAGGCGGUUUAGUAAGACAGGCGUGAAAUCCCCGGGCUCAACCUGGGAACUGCGCUUGUGACUGCUAAGCUAGAGUACGGCAGAGGGGGGUGGAAUUCCACGUCGCGAGGCCAGACGCGCCAGGCUGCGGCGGAACAACGAUGGCGGAGGGAGCCCUCUGGAUUCAUACUGGGGGUAUUCCUCGAGACCGUGGGGUCCUGUUCG